UACGGAGGAUGCGAGCGUUAUCCGGCUUUAUUGGGUUUAAAGGGUGCGUAGGCGGACUGUUAAGUCAGCGGUAAAAGCCCGGGGCUCAACCCCGGCGAGCCGUUGAAACUGGCUGUCUUGAGAUGUCGAGAGGUAUGCGGAAUGCGUGGUGUAGCGGUGAAAUGCAUAGAUAUCACACAGAACACCGAUUGCGAAGGCAGCUUUCCAAGCUAUUACUGACGCUGAGGCACGAAAGCGUGGGGAGCGAACAGG
This 252-nucleotide ribosomal RNA is filed under the name uncultured Bacteroidales bacterium. RNAcentral describes it as "partial 16S ribosomal RNA". It matches the Rfam family "Bacterial small subunit ribosomal RNA", at positions 524 to 776 of the family's 1533-position model. Lineage: Bacteria; Pseudomonadati; Bacteroidota; Bacteroidia; Bacteroidales. The record is from RNAcentral.